GGACUACUAGGGUUUCUAAUCCUGUUCGCUCCCCUAGCUUUCGCACCUGAGCGUCAGUUACCAGCCAGGACACUGCCUUCGCCUUUGGUAUUCCUCCGGAUAUCUACGCAUUUCACCACUCCACCCGGAAUUCUAUGUCCCUCUCUGGUCCUCAAGUUCCGCAGUAUCUCGCCGCCUUGCUCAGUUGAGCCAAGCACUGUCAUGCGAGACUGACGAAACCGCCUGCGUGCGCUUUACGCCCAAUAAAUCCGGACAACGCUCGCCCCCUACGUAUUACCGCGGCUGCUGGCAC
Molecule: ribosomal RNA, 292 nt
Filed under: uncultured bacterium
Lineage: Bacteria
Description: partial 16S ribosomal RNA
Source: RNAcentral